Molecule: ribosomal RNA, 408 nt
Filed under: uncultured bacterium
Lineage: Bacteria
Description: partial 16S ribosomal RNA
Rfam family: Bacterial small subunit ribosomal RNA
Source: RNAcentral
GACGAACGCUGGCGGCGGGCUUAACACAUGCAAGUCGAACGAAGUGGCGAACGGGUGAGUAAUACGUGAGUAACCUGCCCUCAUGUUUGGGAUAAGCCUUGGAAACGGGGUCUAAUACCGAAUAAAGGGGGAUGGGCGCGCGGCCUAUCAGCUGGGUGGUGGGGUGAUGGCCUACCAGGGCGGUGACGGGUAGCCGGCCUGGGAGGGUGACACGGCACAUGGGAACUGGUCUAGGGCCCAAACGCCUACGGGAGUGGGGAGUGGGGGACAUUGGACAAAGGGCGAAUGCCUGAUGCCGCGGUGCCUGGUGGGGGAUGAAGGCUUUCGGGUUGUAUACCUCUUUCGGUAUCGAACGGGUAGGUGGAGAAGAAGCGCCGGCUAACUACGUGCCAACAGCCGCGGUAAUAC